This 440-nucleotide ribosomal RNA is filed under the name uncultured bacterium. Its description in RNAcentral is "partial 16S ribosomal RNA". It matches the Rfam family "Bacterial small subunit ribosomal RNA", at positions 338 to 795 of the family's 1533-position model. The record is from RNAcentral.
CCUACGGGAGGCAGCAGUGGGGGAUAUUGCACAAUGGGGGGAACCCUGAUGCGGCGACGCCGCGUGAAGGAAGACGUAUCUCGGUAUGUAAACCUCUAUCUGUAGGGCAGAAACUGACGGUACCUGACUAAGAAGCCCCGGCUAACUACGUUCCAGCAGCGGCGGUAAUACGUAGGGAGCAGGGGUUAUCCGGAUUUACUGGUCGUAAAGGGAGCGUAGGCGGCGGUGCAAGUGCGCAGUGAAAGGCCCGGGCUCAACUCGGGGCCUGCUUUUGAAACUGGGCGGUUUGAGUGCAGGAGAGGCAGGCGGAAUUCCUAGUGUAGCGGUGAAAUGCUUAGAUAUGAGGAGGAACACCAGUGGCGAAGGCGGCUUGCUGGACUGGAACUGACGCUGAGGCUCGAAAGCGUGGGGAGCAAACAGGAUUAGAUACCCUUGUAGUC